UACGGGGGGGGCAAGCGUUGUUCGGAAUUACUGGGCGUAAAGGGCGCGUAGGCGGCCCGCUUAGUCGGACGUGAAAUCCCUCGGCUCAACCGAGGAACUGCGUCCGAUACUGGCGGGCUCGAAUCCGGGAGAGGGAUGUGGAAUUCCAGGUGUAGCGGUGAAACGCGUAGAUAUCUGGAGGAACACCAGUGGCGAAGGCGGCAUCCUGGACCGGUAUUGACGCUGAGGCGCGAAAGCCAGGGGAGCAAACGGG
Molecule: ribosomal RNA, 253 nt
Filed under: uncultured bacterium
Lineage: Bacteria
Description: partial 16S ribosomal RNA
Rfam family: Bacterial small subunit ribosomal RNA
Source: RNAcentral